ACAUGACCCACUGGCUUCCUGAUUCUGCCUAUUGUACUCCAGCUCACUGGCAAGAAAGUGACAGGAGACCCUAACAAAGAACCAAGAGAAAAGGGGCCAAGAUGAGACAACCCUUGAGACAAGAUGAGAACAUCACCAAGCCCUUCCUACAGGUAGAUCUAAUUGAGUAUCACUGUCUAAGAGGGUUCAUUACUAGCACCUGCCUGACCAAGUUGGAGCCAGCCAACAUGGAAUUAAGCAAACUGAGUCUAGUUCUGUUUGGAGAGAAACAGGUUAAACCAGACCAGGAACUCUUGAGGACAGUCCACA
Molecule: long non-coding RNA, 309 nt
Filed under: Gopherus evgoodei (Goodes thornscrub tortoise)
Lineage: Eukaryota; Metazoa; Chordata; Testudines; Testudinidae
Description: lncRNA (ENSGEVG00005000948.1)
Source: RNAcentral